GAUGAACGCUGGCGGCGUGCCUAAUACAUGCCAGUCGAGCGAACAGUCGAGGAGCUUGCUCCUCUGACGUUAGCGGCGGACGGGUGAGUAACACGUGGAUAACCUACCUAUAAGACUGGGAUAACUUCGGGAAACCGGAGCUAAUACCGGAUAAUAUAUUGAACCGCAUGGUUCAAUAGUGAAAGACGGUUUUGCUGUCACUUAUAGAUGGAUCCGCGCCGCAUUAGCUAGUUGGUAAGGUAACGGCUUACCAAGGCAACGAUGCGUAGCCGACCUGAGAGGGUGAUCGGCCACACUGGAACUGAGACACGGUCCAGACUCCUACGGGAGGCAGCAGUAGGGAAUCUUCCGCAAUGGGCGAAAGCCUGACGGAGCAACGCCGCGUGAGUGAUGAAGGUCUUCGGAUCGUAAAACUCUGUUAUUAGGGAAGAACAAAUGUGUAAGUAACUAUGCACGUCUUGACGGUACCUAAUCAGAAAGCCACGGCUAACUACGUG
Molecule: ribosomal RNA, 497 nt
Filed under: uncultured bacterium
Lineage: Bacteria
Description: partial 16S ribosomal RNA
Rfam family: Bacterial small subunit ribosomal RNA
Source: RNAcentral